AUUUCUUGCCAUUUAUUGCUGACCCAUAAGCGAUAUAAUUACCCUGAGUGCCAACAUAAAUGUUGAAAUUUGGAUUUCCCUUGGUGUUGAUUGUUGAACAAACUGAAGUUAUUCCUCCAGCAUCUUUGGUUGGAUGAAUUUCGAAGAAAAUCAAUUGGUUAAAUCGAUUUGGUCACGAAAAUUAUAAUCAAUGUUCAUUAACAUGAAUUAUCAACCUACGUUUUUUUUCAAAACAUACUAAUCGAGUAACUAAUAAGCCAUCAAAGAUCAACCCAGUUAUUCAAAUCUGUGAUUCAUGUACAUGAAUUUUCAGUUGGAAAAAUGUUUCAUGUCUAAUCAACAUUAUCGUUUUCGUAUAUUAUUAUUAUUGAUCACUGAUGUCCCAUGUAAUGAGAAGCCCAUUUACAUCACUUGAAACCAAAAUGUUAUUGGAAAGAUAUUUAAUGCACCCAAUUGAAGUCUAUGAUUUGAAAGAAUUGGAAAAAAAAUCAGUCAUUCUAUAUAUAUCGUGUUAAUAUUUAACUGACCUCUUGAGCUUUGAGGUCAGUUACUCGGAAGACCAUUCCGUUGUCAGGAUUUUGUGACCAGAGAGUGAAAAAGCCAUCAGCUGAUCCAGUUAAGAAAUCGCCAUUAGAUAAAAAAUCAAUACAAGUGAAAAGAACUGGUUCCUUUGAUUUCUUUAAAAAGAAAUUACAACAAUUAGACGUUUUGAUUAGCCAACUGAUUUAUUAAUUUUUCGAAAUCAACUCAACUGGUUUG
This is a long non-coding RNA of Panonychus citri (citrus red mite), 759 nucleotides long. RefSeq lists it as uncharacterized. NCBI's taxonomy places the organism in Eukaryota, Metazoa, Arthropoda, Arachnida, Trombidiformes, Tetranychidae. The transcript has 3 exons. The record is from RefSeq and is a predicted model, not a curated record.